CUAUGUCAGCUAAACAAGUGCGAUCGAGUAGUUAAAAGGAUUUUACUGUUCAAAUUUUGAAGUGUCGUUUUUAGCUGGAAACUUCAUAGGAAAGUACUCGAAGCUGCAAAGUGAUGUGUUUAAUCGUUCGUGUGUGUAGCGGAACAGAUAUUGUGUCUUGCUGCUGUCAUACGCUUCCGCAGGGCCCUUCGUACGCUCGGCUGCGUCAGUCCGGUCACGUUGUUGUCUUAGUAACCGACCCCGCGGCCAUGUCAGCUUCUCGGCUUAGUUCAUUGGAUCGUCAAGUCUAUAUUUAGCGACGACGUCAAGUAGGAAGUCGUCUGCUCGCAGCAGGAAAUUUCAGAGACGUCCAUGAUGUUGCACUAAGUUUCCUAGGACGCUGGCUGAAUAUAAAAGUCGAUGACAAAAUAACUUCCCCCUCCUACUCCUUACCUGAGAAUAACUCGAGGGGAUCAAACUCAUCGAGUCGGUUCCUCGAGUCUCUUCCUGCAGGUGCGGCGUAUGGAACCUGUGAGUAACAUCCGAGAAACAACUGUAUGCUGCUUUUCUUGGAAUGAAGUUUUCCCAGUGUCAGCCGCUGCCUGCCAGGAGAGUUUCUUUAGGAUGUCGUCGCUGAAAAUAAUUCAGGAAACUCAACAUUUCAACCCUUGCCUACAGCAAAACAGUUCCCACUUACAAGAGUCGUAAAGGUCACCAAGGAUGCAGCCAAGGAAUACUGCCAUCUUUACUACUGGCUGCAGCGUUGACAACAUAUGCGAGUCAUUGAUUUGAGUGUGGCGGUGUUUGUGAGGCAGUAUCUGGAGAAAGGAAGAUGGGAGAAGGAGUGCAUUGAUGUCAUAAACGUAUGACACCCUGUCAGCACCAUCCAUGGCGGAAGACAGUUUACAUUUCAUGUGGAGCUUAGUGGGGGCAGGGGAGGGGACAAACGAACAGCAGAAGCUGAAGGGGAGGAUGGGGAGUUCAUGACGUCAAGAAGGUGAAAUAAAGUUUUGGGCUGGGUGUGAAAAGAGUCCGCGGGUGUUGAUGAAAGCUGAGCCCGCAGCAAAUAUUUGACAGGUGAGUUCACGUCACACUGCUGCAGGUGUGUGAUUAGCGGGGAGGGAGGGGAAUAACUGGAGCUGAUGGACUUAGCCGAGUUCUAUCCUCAAUUAAAGCAACAUGGCUGUAAGGUCCUGGGCACAAUCACAGCAAGUCGACACAAAUCUCGCUCACAAGUUGGCAAAAUCGAAAACACAUCGGCAUUAUUUUUGAAAUCGUGUAUGGCAUCAUCUCGGAACAGAACAUUCUGGACGUGUAUGAUCUUGGCAUAUUUUAGAGUGACCUCCACCACAGACCUUCAAAGGUCAUCUGUGUCAUCGUCGGAAAGUGAACUCUGGUGACCUUCAUCUACUUGCAGAGCUUCCCUUUGACUUGCCCAGUGAAAUGUGAGCUAAUGUCUACAGCAAAGUCGGAGUUGCUAUGUCAUUGUGGCAA
Long non-coding RNA from Pomacea canaliculata, 1473 nucleotides. RefSeq lists it as uncharacterized. The transcript has 3 exons. The record is from RefSeq and is a predicted model, not a curated record. Lineage: Eukaryota; Metazoa; Mollusca; Gastropoda; Architaenioglossa; Ampullariidae.